AGCUUUGGAGCUGGGAUUAGAACAGUUCUUCAGACCUCACUGUCCUGGGCUGGUCUCCCAAGAGGAAGUGGGCAGGUCACUGAGGGAGGGAAGCCAUCAAGGCCAUCAGAGCAAAUACAUAGAGGUCAGCUGAAGGUGUCCCAGAGUGCUGGAUUACAGUGUGUGUCUCCAUGCCUGGGGACACACGCUGUAACGUAUGUGGUGCUGGGGACCAAACCCAUGUCUCUGUGCAUCUGAGGUGUUUGAAUCAUCUUCUGGCAGCUAUGGGGUAUGGUCCUUGCCCUCCCACCCCUGUGGAAGACUAAGGAUUUGCCCACCUCUAGUCCCAGAUAAGAAAGAUACACUCUCCCCACCUAGGUGUCAAACCAGCUGUAUGCCCCUUCAAGCCAACCAUGCUCUCCAUCAAGCCCUGGAUGGGAGGACUCUGGGGACGGCUGGCCCAGUUCUCUGGCCCUUUUCCAAGCUGACAAUCCCCAUCAAGACCCCCAAGGGUGGGCAGUAACUUACCUGUGGGGAUUACAGAUGAGCAACCAAGAGCAAGCUUAGGUUUCCCGGUCACUAUGGAUUCUCUGUGUAGAAAUGUGGCUUAUGCAGUGCCACAGGCAAUGUGAACUGCGAAGGCCAGGCUCAAAUGAAUGACCCAAGCUCAAGACCUCUGUGAGUGCCUUGGGUUCAGGCCCGGCCUCUGUGUUCUCUGGGUCUCCAUGUCCCGUUAUGAAACAAAGGCCUCAAUCAAUCUGGGUUUCGGGUGAAUAUGAAGGCUGCUUCUUAGCUGGCUGUCUGGGGCCUCCCUUCUUUGAGCCAGGUUGUGCAAUAACUGCUGUGACCCUAGCUAUAUGGGAGAGCCUCCAGUGCCCAUUGCUGCCCCCUUCCCUAGAGACAGCUCCUAGUCCAGUUGUCUGCAAGUCAUCCCUCACAGAGUCCCAUCCAUAUCUCACCCUGCUCUGACCCUGUGCCUUUAGGCAGGCAACACCUAGCUCCCUGAGACAGGGCUGAAUAGAGGUCAUGGCUUCCUAGCUGCCCCUCUCUUGAGAGCACUGCCCACUAAGCUAUCCUCAUAGGUAUUUCAAUCUCACUUCUGCUUCUAGACUUCUAGGCCCAGAGAAUGGAAAGUCUUUGACACCGAGCUGUUCAGAUUCCUACCCCGCCCCACCACCGCCUGCCUGAACCUCAUGGGGUCUGAGCACAUCCCCUGGGCACUGAGGAAGGAAAACUGAAAGAGGCAGGGGCACCAACCAAGAGAACUGAAGCCUGUGAAGAGGAAGUGAGUGCUGCUCUGACCCUCUAACCCAUCCUUCGGUCAGGCCUGCCUGCAUCAGCAACUCAAGCCAUUGCAGCUGCUCACUUGCAUGCCUCAGCCAUACUUCUCGAGCCUGGCUUGUGAGGACACUGUAGGGACAGGAGCUGCAGCACCAGCAAGCAGAUGCGCUGGUUAUGGCUGCUCUGAUAAGCUUGGUGUCGACAGCAGAAGGAAGGUUGCCUUGCAGAUCCAGCAGCCUGAUCCUGAGAGCUGUGGCCACUGUACUGUCCAGUGUAGACACCAUACCUUCCUUCCACUGCUGUCUAGGAAAGCCUGGGUUGUCUGGGUUCCAGGAAGGGGACAGGACAUGUUUAAACAGGGUGACUUUAGGGUUUGGGAAAGCCCCCUGGCCCAGGCACAGGUGAAGAGAGGGACAGGAGGCAAUAUCAAUUGUCUGGGGGCAGCUUAGCAAUGUGUAAUGAAAUAUGUAACUUUCUGACAACAGGAGUCAGUUGCUUCUGGGAACUGACACUAGGGAAACGAUAGUGAGUUCAUGCAAGGUGUGUGCAUGAGAACACUCUAUCUCCACCUUGUUUAAGGCUGAUACCACUCCGUGAGAGACUGGAACAGUCACACAAUGGAGACUUGUACGCUGCUCACACAGUGGUGGAAUUAUCAAUAAAGCUGCCAAGAAUGUUCUGGCACACGUCCUUCGGCUGACAUAAACUGCCUUUCUCUUGGGUAUAGAUGGAACUGCUGGGUUCAAAGGAUUGUGUAUGUUCAUUUUGAGUGGAUGCUGCAAAACGAUGAUUGCUCCAUUGCGCACACCCACACCCAGUUAAUGAGAGCACCAGUUGCUACAUCCUUGCCAACACUUAGUAUUGUCAACCUGUUUCGUCUCAGCUCUUCUGGUGACUAGGGAGAGGAAUUGCGUUGUGGUUUUAAUCUGCAUUUCUAAAUAUGCG
RNAcentral lists this long non-coding RNA (2205 nucleotides) under Cricetulus griseus (Chinese hamster). RNAcentral's name for it is "lncRNA (ENSCGRG00015033817.1)". Lineage: Eukaryota; Metazoa; Chordata; Mammalia; Rodentia; Cricetidae. The record is from RNAcentral.